GAAGUGCUCCCCUUGCCGCGUCGUUUACGGACGCGGAGUGCUCCGGGCGCGCUCACCUCCCGGGGGGCUAGUCCGCGGCGGCCGUCGGAAGCCGCCUGCAGCCGGGGCGGGGCCGGGGGACCCGGGGACCGGGGACCCGGGAUCGGGCCGCUUCUCCCUCCGCCUGUGUCUCCGUCUCUCCCCCUCUCUAUGUCUCUCAUGAAUAAAUAAAUAAGAUCUUAAAUAAAUUAAUAAAAUAAAAUAUUUAAAAAAUAUAUUAACAGGACGAGUGAUCAAGGGGGGGAGGCAAAAGGCUCCGAAGCUCAGCGUCCCGGGGAGAGCGCAGUUUCCUUUCCCGAUGAAACUCUGUGCUUGUCCCCUUAUGGGAAAAUUUGUACUCCGCUCUGGGGGGAGAGAGAGUCUUCAGAGGACCCCUGGCUGAGCUCAGAGGUGGGCGACGGGCCGGAUCCCAGGACCCUGAGAUGAUGACUUGAGUCCAAACCGAGAUCUCGGGGCGGCCCGGGUGGCUCAGCGGUUAGCGCCGCCUGCAGCCCGGGGCGUGACCCUGGAGACCCGGGAUCGAGCCCC
Molecule: long non-coding RNA, 567 nt
Organism: Canis lupus familiaris (dog)
Lineage: Eukaryota; Metazoa; Chordata; Mammalia; Carnivora; Canidae
Exons: 3
Source: RefSeq, a predicted model, not a curated record